UUGAUUUGAUUCUUCGGAUGAAGAUCUUGGUGACUGAGUGGCGGACGGGUGAGUAACGCGUGGGUAACCUGCCUCAUACAGGGGGAUAACAGUUAGAAAUGACUGCUAAUACCGCAUAAGACCACAGCACCGCAUGGUGCAGGGGUAAAAACUCCGGUGGUAUGAGAUGGACCCGCGUCUGAUUAGGUAGUUGGUGGGGUAACGGCCUACCAAGCCGACGAUCAGUAGCCGACCUGAGAGGGUGACCGGCCACAUUGGGACUGAGACACGGCCCAAACUCCUACGGGAGGCAGCAGUGGGGAAUAUUGCACAAUGGGGGAAACCCUGAUGCAGCGACGCCGCGUGAGCGAUGAAGUAUUUCGGUAUGUAAAGCUCUAUCAGCAGGGAAGAAAAUGACGGUACCUGACUAAGAAGCACCGGCUAAAUACGUGCCAGCAGCCGCGGUAAUACGUAUGGUGCAAGCGUUAUCCGGAUUUACUGGGUGUAAAGGGAGCGUAGACGGAGUGGCAAGUCUGAUGUGAAAACCCGGGGCUCAACCCCGGGACUGCAUUGGAAACUGUCAAUCUAGAGUACCGGAGAGGUAAGCGGAAUUCCUAGUGUAGCGGUGAAAUGCGUAGAUAUUAGGAGGAACACCAGUGGCGAAGGCGGCUUACUGGACGGUAACUGA
This 667-nucleotide ribosomal RNA is filed under the name uncultured bacterium. RNAcentral describes it as "bacterial SSU rRNA". It matches the Rfam family "Bacterial small subunit ribosomal RNA", at positions 68 to 743 of the family's 1533-position model. The record is from RNAcentral.